GCUGUGCCCAUGAUCCUGCCCCAAUCGUCGGGAUCCGAAGUGUCGAUCCGGAACAUGGCUUCGAACAUCUCUUCCUCCUGCGUGUCCGGCCAUGUCUCCCUCACUAUAGCACUCAUCACCUCGUCACUAGCCUCCCUCACCUUCGCCUAUAUGGAUAGGAAAAAAUUAUUAAUUAACAUUUUGACAUAUAUAUAAGUAAAUUUAAAAUUUAAAAACGUAAGAUGACUUACAAUAUCCUCCUGGGCGUCAGGAUAUGCCUUCUCGUACGUAUAGACGUACCGGUUGACUUCUGGAUGUUCCCUGGCCGCCUCGUCCAUGAAGACAGCGAACGGUCAAGAACCGCCAUGAUGGUUCCUUGUGUUGCGUUGCCGGUUCUGAGAGUUCGCUCGGGAAACGGCCUUCAAAGAAAAAAAUAAAUUACUAGUAAAAUAUUUAAAAACGGACGUAUUUAAUGACAAAUUAACUAAUUAAUUUUUUUAAAUACCUGUUUCUGAGGGUUGUUGAAUUCUGAUGUCAGAAGCCAACGCCACUCGUACUCCCUGUACUGGAACUCAGCAGGGGUACCAGAACGUGCGUUCCCGUGCGUAGUCCAGUGGGUCCGCAACUCGUUCUUCCACUCCUUGUACCUACAGAUACAACAAAAAUAUUAGAAAUAUUAUUAAUAUCACAUACUAAUUUUGUUUUUUAUUAACUUCCCAACGUACCUUCCCCCAUGCACAAUGUCGGCCCAGCUGUCCUUAAGGUGCUCGGGAACCUCAAACCACACCUGUAUUUAACCGUUUAUUAGUUUAGUUUUUCGAGAAAUCAACAAUGUAAUACAUAAUAUUAUUUUGUAAACUCACCGACAUCGCGUUGUGGACCAUGUCCUUAACCUCCUGCGGGACCUCGCCCCAGUCUGACCACAACAUAGGGACUCUAUCCCUAAUGAGCGCUCCCACGCGGCCGGAGUACGUCCUCGACUUCCCGCCCGAUACUAUGUGGCCAUCCCCGUCAGUAUUGAUGACGAUCCUCCCCACGGUACCCACGAUCUUCUCGAGAGCCUUCCCUGUGACGGGGCCUCUCUUCUUCUUUGUCGGCUUCGCUCCGACG
RNAcentral lists this long non-coding RNA (1089 nucleotides) under Fragaria vesca (wild strawberry). RNAcentral describes it as "long non-coding RNA (FVES_LNC005226)". The record is from RNAcentral. Lineage: Eukaryota; Viridiplantae; Streptophyta; Magnoliopsida; Rosales; Rosaceae.